AUCAACUGACUGAAAUCCGACGCGCCAGUUUUGCCCGUCUCGUCUGUGACAACAGCAACGUGAAAUCCAGCCAGCCUCUAAUCUUUAAAACACCAUCUCACGUAAACCCGAUUUUGAAUUGCGAUUCCGGCUCUAUCCCUCGUCUUAACGUUCGCCCAUUCGGGGUGGAAGAUCGCUGGCCGGAAUACAACACCGGUGACGGCGGUGUCAAAUGGCUGCAGAAUUGCGACUUCCUCGGCUACGAUCUGAGUCGAAAGACCAUCCCAGGAGAACAGUGUGGCCGACUCUGCAUCAAUGACGGCAAGUGCAACGCGUUUACCUACAACUCGGUGACGGGCAUCUGUUUCUUGAAAGACAUUCCAGCGUCGUAUGGUCGCUCACCUUGGAACGGAGCUAUCUGCGGCUUCCUUCCGUGGAAAUUUUAAUUGUUUCUAAUAUAUUUAAAUACUCUUUAUCUGUGAAUCGACUGCCCAAAAUCUGUCCUCUUGCAUGUAGAUUAUUUGUAUCGCGCCUUACCUGCUAGCAGAGUGUAGAGCAAAAUACAAAAUGUCGAGUGAAA
Molecule: long non-coding RNA, 559 nt
Organism: Daphnia pulicaria
Lineage: Eukaryota; Metazoa; Arthropoda; Branchiopoda; Diplostraca; Daphniidae
Exons: 2
Source: RefSeq, a predicted model, not a curated record